GGAGGGUAUAGCUCAGUGGUAGAGUGUGUGCUUAGCAUGCUCAAGGUCCUGGGUUCAAUCCCCAGUAACUCCA
Molecule: transfer RNA, 73 nt
Filed under: Vicugna pacos (alpaca)
Lineage: Eukaryota; Metazoa; Chordata; Mammalia; Artiodactyla; Camelidae
Description: tRNA-Ala (AGC) (tRNA-Ala-AGC-794-1)
Rfam family: tRNA
About the family: Transfer RNA (tRNA) molecules are approximately 80 nucleotides in length. Their secondary structure includes four short double-helical elements and three loops (D, anti-codon, and T loops). Further hydrogen bonds mediate the characteristic L-shaped molecular structure. tRNAs have two regions of fundamental functional importance: the anti-codon, which is responsible for specific mRNA codon recognition, and the 3' end, to which the tRNAs corresponding amino acid is attached (by aminoacyl-tRNA synthetases). tRNAs cope with the degeneracy of the genetic code in two manners: having more than one tRNA (with a specific anti-codon) for a particular amino acid; and 'wobble' base-pairing, i.e. permitting non-standard base-pairing at the 3rd anti-codon position.
Source: RNAcentral